Molecule: small nucleolar RNA, 107 nt
Filed under: Gossypium hirsutum (cotton)
Lineage: Eukaryota; Viridiplantae; Streptophyta; Magnoliopsida; Malvales; Malvaceae
Description: Plant small nucleolar RNA R71
Rfam family: Plant small nucleolar RNA R71
About the family: R71 is a member of the C/D box family of snoRNAs containing the C (UGAUGA) and D (CUGA) box motifs. Multiple nearly identical copies of this snoRNA have been identified in Arabidopsis, and it is thought to function as a 2'-O-ribose methylation guide for 18S ribosomal RNA.
Source: Rfam by way of RNAcentral
AACCCAUGGUGAGGGCAUCUUGUCAAGAGGUCCUCGUAUCUCUCCCAUGCAUCAUUGAGUGUUUCUAAAUCCAUUUGCACAAAAGAAGAUAUAUCAUUACGAAAUUU